Molecule: ribosomal RNA, 884 nt
Filed under: uncultured archaeon
Lineage: Archaea
Description: bacterial SSU rRNA
Rfam family: Archaeal small subunit ribosomal RNA
Source: RNAcentral
UUUCCGGUUGAUCCCGCCGGAGGCCACUGCUAUUGGGGUUCGACUAAGCCAUGCGAGUCUAUGGACUUCGGUCCAUGGCGGACGGCUCAGUAACACGUGGCUAACCCACCCUCAGGUGGGGGAUAACCUCGGGAAACUGAGGGUAAUACCCCAUAGGGGAAGAGGUCUGGAAUGAUCCUUCCUUGAAAGGACAUCCGCCUGAGGAUGGGGCUGCGUCCGAUUAGGUAGUUGGUGGGGUAAUGGCCCACCAAGCCUACGACCGGUACGGGCCUUGAGAGAGGAAGCCCGGAGAUGGGGACUGAGACACGGCCCCAGGCCCUACGGGGCGCAGCAGGCGCGAAACCUCCACAAUGCACGAAAGUGCGAUGGGGGAACCCCAAGUGCCUAUGCACAGCAUAGGCUUUUCCCAAGUGUAAACAGCUUGGGGAAUAAGGGCUGGGCAAGUCCGGUGCCAGCGGCCGCGGUGACACCGGCGGCCCGAGUGGUGGCCACUCUUAUUGGGCCUAAAGCGUCCGUAGCCGGUCCGGUAAGUCCCUGUUUAAAUCCUACGGCUCAACCGUAGGGCUGGCAGGGAUGCUGCUGGACUUGGGACCGGGAGAGGACGAGGGUACUCCAGGGGUAGCGGUGAAGUGUGUUGAUCCCUGGAGGACCACCUAUGGUGAAGGCACUCGUCUGGAACGGGUCCGACGGUGAGGGACGAAAGCCAGGGGCGCGAACCGGAUUAGAUACCCGGGUAGUCCUGGCCGUAAACUCUGCGGACUAGGUGUCACCUGGGCCUUGGGCCCAGGUGGUGCCGAAGGGAAGCCAUUAAGUCCGCCGCCUGGGGAGUACGGUCGCAAGACUGAAACUUAAAGGAAUUGGCGGGGGAGCACCACAACGGGUGG